Molecule: long non-coding RNA, 1235 nt
Filed under: Struthio camelus australis
Lineage: Eukaryota; Metazoa; Chordata; Aves; Struthioniformes; Struthionidae
Description: lncRNA (ENSSCUG00000007699.1)
Source: RNAcentral
GGUUUCUAACUAAAACAUAAUUAUAACCGAGGCAGAAGAGAACAAAGCGCUAGAAGGGACAUUGCCUGAGCUACUCGGUGGAAUAUAUACUGAAGACAUCUCAGCAGCCCAAUAUUAACAGUUCUUGUUUCUACUUGGUAACAACAAAAUGUGAGCUAAUUUCAGUUUGGAAGGAGAAAAUGAAGGGAAGAGUCCCAAUCUUAAAUUAUUAGAGCAAAUAGGGGAAGGGUGGUUUGUACUUUGCAGAAAAUAAAACCACAGGGAAGUAUGAUUUACUCAUGCUCUUACAGGAAAUAUGUAGAAGUAAAGAGGUUAUCUGUCCCUCCUGACUCACAGCCCUGGAUUUGGGUGCAAGACCAUCCUUCCGCUGUUAUGGCACACUGGUGUUUCUCAGUGAACUAACUAUGAUCCCUGCAAAAAAUACUUAUUUGUCCUUUGUUCAUAUAAAAUUUGCAACAGUUCCAUGCCAAAAUUUGACAUAUAUCAAAACAGAAGCUUGACAGCUUUAAUUUAUAUUGAACAUAGCUCCCUUGAGUAUAUUCCUUGAAUAUUCCUCCCAUCACUGAAUUAUUUGAGCCGUCAUGAAGAAGAGAGUCUGGGAGGUAAUACUGCUACUUUUAUCUACAUUGGCUCUGGCCAGGAAUGACAGAUAAUGACAUUUCAGCAGGGAUUUCUUUUCUCUUCUUUGAGCAUCAGACUGCCUGAGGAAUGGCUGAGAUCCUCUGAUCCUUUACCAGAUAGCACAAUUUUCGGGAGCUCUCGUAUGAUGAUGACCAGAGUCCUGAUAACUCUUGGUCCAUACCCAGAGAACUCUCAAGAGCGAUGGCAGAACUGCAGCAAAGGUGUUCAGAAGGCAGUUAAAACCUCUUUGAUGGAAAAUCAUGGGAACAGCAGCUGUACCAUCAGAGGCAACCAUGCUACAUACAAGGCACACAGCCACAUGUCUUCUCCGAGCCCCAGAAGUGCAGGAGAUAACAAGCCCUGAGGAGCUGCUUUUCCUGAGAAGGUCUCAGAGGGACCACAGCCACUGCGGUCGCACUGGCAGAUGACACAAUCAGGUAGAUAGACUUACUGACAACAGGAACUCAGAAAUCUUUGGGGAGACUUGCUAAUCAGAUAGCAGUUCAGAAUUGCACUAAUUAAACAAGAGACUAAUUGAACAUAAAUUGCUCAUCUGAAUUCAAAAUUCUGUCUUAUAUAAACAUUGCUAAUCAAUUGUAUUGCUCUUGGCUGGG